Molecule: transfer RNA, 83 nt
Filed under: Streptomyces netropsis
Lineage: Bacteria; Bacillati; Actinomycetota; Actinomycetes; Kitasatosporales; Streptomycetaceae
Description: tRNA-Arg
Source: RNAcentral
AGUGUGCUGGUCGGGCUGUUCGCGGUGGCCGGGAUCCUGUCCUGGGCGGGCGCCCGGCUGUGGGACUCGGUCGGCACCCUGCC